RNAcentral lists this unclassified non-coding RNA (284 nucleotides) under Minimedusa polyspora. RNAcentral's name for it is "partial internal transcribed spacer region". The stretch from base 1 to 46 matches the Rfam family "Eukaryotic small subunit ribosomal RNA", at positions 1786 to 1831 of the family's 1831-position model. Lineage: Eukaryota; Fungi; Basidiomycota; Agaricomycetes; Cantharellales; Hydnaceae. The record is from RNAcentral.
GAGUCGUAACAAGGUUUCCGUAGGUGAACCUGCGGAAGGAUCAUUAAUGAAUUUUGGAGUUCUACUGUGCCUGCCGUUCAUUCGGAUGUGUGCACGUAGUCUCUAUAAAUCCUUAUCAACACCUGUGCACCUUUAAAAAGGGGGGAGUCUGAUUAAGCAUUUUAUGAUGCUUAUGACGAAUAACCUCUUUUCUUAUACAAACUCUUUUAAUGUCUAUUAGAAUGUUCUCUGGCCGCAAGGCUAUAAAAUAUAAACAACUUUUAACAACGGAUCUCUUGGCUCUC